GCGGCGUGCUUAACACAUGCAAGUCGAACGGUGACGGAGGAGCUUGCUCCCCCUGAUCAGUGGCGAACGGGUGAGUAACACGUGAGUAACCUGCCCCAGACUCUGGGAUAACAUCGGGAAAUCGGUGCUAAUACCGGAUAUGAGACGAGACUGCAUGGUCAUCGUCUGGAAAGAUUUAUCGGUCUGGGAUGGACUCGCGGCCUAUCAGCUAGUUGGUGAGGUAAUGGCUCACCAAGGCGACGACGGGUAGCCGGCCUGAGAGGGCGACCGGCCACACUGGAACUGAGAUACGGUCCAGACUCCUACGGGAGGCAGCAGUGGGGAAUAUUGCACAAUGGGCGCAAGCCUGAUGCAGCAACGCCGCGUGGGGGAUGAAGGCCUUCGGGUUGUAAACCCCUUUUAGCAGGGAAGAAGCGAAAGUGACGGUACCUGCAGAAAAAGCGCCGGCUAACUACGUGCCAGCAGCCGCGGUAAUACGUAGGGCGCAAGCGUUGUCCGGAAUUAUUGGGCGUAAAGAGCUCGUAGGCGGUUUGUCGCGUCUGCUGUGAAAGUCCGAGGCUCAACCUCGGAUCUGCAGUGGGUACGGGCAGACUAGAGUAUGGUAGGGGAGACUGGAAUUCCUGGUGUAGCGGUGGAAUGCGCAGAUAUCAGGAGGAACACCAAUGGCGAAGGCAGGUCUCUGGGCCAUAACUGACGCUGAGGAGCGAAAGCGUGGGGAGCGAACAGGAUUAGAUACCCUGGUAGUCCACGCCGUAAACGGUGGGCACUAGAUGUGGGGCUCUUUCCAUGAGUUCCGCGUCGCAGCUAACGCAUUAAGUGCCCCGCCUGGGGAGUACGGCCGCAAGGCUAAAACUCAAAGGAAUUGACGGGGGCCCGCACAAGCGGCGGAGCAUGCG
This 896-nucleotide ribosomal RNA is filed under the name Cellulomonas sp. KAR85. RNAcentral's name for it is "bacterial SSU rRNA". It matches the Rfam family "Bacterial small subunit ribosomal RNA", at positions 39 to 943 of the family's 1533-position model. Lineage: Bacteria; Bacillati; Actinomycetota; Actinomycetes; Micrococcales; Cellulomonadaceae. The record is from RNAcentral.